UACGUAGGUGGCAAGCGUUGUCCGGAAUUACUGGGCGUAAAGCGUGCGUAGACGGUUAUUUAAGUCGGGUGUGAAAGCCCCGGGCUCAACCUGGGAAUUGCAUUCGAGACUGAAUAGCUAGGGUACGGUAGAGGGAAGUGGAAUUUCCGGUGUAGCGGUGAAAUGCGUAGAUAUCGGAAGGAACAUCAGUGGCGAAAGCGACUUCCUGGACCAGUACCGACGUUCAGGCACGAAAGCGUGGGGAGCAAACAGG
Molecule: ribosomal RNA, 253 nt
Filed under: uncultured bacterium
Lineage: Bacteria
Description: partial 16S ribosomal RNA
Rfam family: Bacterial small subunit ribosomal RNA
Source: RNAcentral